Molecule: ribosomal RNA, 178 nt
Filed under: uncultured bacterium
Lineage: Bacteria
Description: partial 16S rRNA
Rfam family: Bacterial small subunit ribosomal RNA
Source: RNAcentral
CCUACGGGAGGCAGCAGUCGAGAGUAUUCGUCAAUGGGCGAAAGCCUGAACGAGCGACGCCGCGUGGAGGAUGAAGCAUUUCGGUGUGUAAACUCCUUUUCCAUCGGAGCAAAGUCGCAAGACUGAUAGUACGGUGGGAAUAAGUGGCUGCAAACUUCGUGCCAGCAGCCGCGGUAAU